CGCUGAUCUUGUGUUGACUGCUUCAUCAGACAAGACAGUCCGUAUCUGGGGAAGUUCUGAGGAUGGGAACUAUUCGUGUAGA
Camelina sativa (false flax) is the source of this 82-nucleotide non-coding RNA. Lineage: Eukaryota; Viridiplantae; Streptophyta; Magnoliopsida; Brassicales; Brassicaceae. The record is from RefSeq and is a predicted model, not a curated record.